AAUAAGCAAAGGAAAUGAACAGUUACAGCCAGCUGAUUCACCAGCCUGCCUUUCUGCUUCACCCUCCUGGUUUUUACACGUGUUGUCUGCCUCUCUACCUCUUAUUUGCCUCUUUUUUUUCGCAUUUCUCACUGUUCCGAUGAUGGCUGCGACCGACACCUCCUGGGUUGCUCUGAUGAUGUUGGACCACCAUCACAACGACGGUUUACCUGCUGGAUUAGGAGUGAUUGUUAGGGUUUUCUUGCCUGUAUCAAUCACUCUCGAACCCUUGUGGCAAUGUUGUGGUGGUGGCAUCGUUGACAUAAUCACCGGGUUUUGGGGAUUCGCUGCCUGGUUAGGGUUUCGUUGCUUAUGUGGUGUCGCCGCCUAUCGAGGUGGUGGUUAGGGUUUCAUUGCCCAAAUUAGUCGCUCUCGAACCCUAGGGGGUGAUGUUGUGUUCGUGACGCUAUAGACCUAACACUUUGCUAACCUUCGUCUAUCUCUUUUCAUCUUUUAGCUGAGGCUAUGAUGAGUCAGUAAAUCUGAAUGUAAUGUUGUUGUCGAUUUAGCUUUGGCAUGGCAGGGUUCAAGGAUGGCACUUCAUUAGUUGCAACCUUCCCUGCAGCCAUGGUGGUAUUGUUGUUUUGUGGACUCUGAGCCUGUUUCACGUUGUUUACUGUUUAUUGUGUUUAGUUUAUUUGGGUGCUAUUUUUUCCACAUAGAGGUUAAGAAAUUCCCUUUGAACAUUACAAAUUUAAGUAUAAUGUGGGUCGUCAUUUUUCUCUGAUUGCAUCAGUACUAUUGAAAAUCUGGUUUUGUUAUAAUUUGUAGAGUGCUAAUGGCUAAUGGAAGCACCAUAAGCUUAAGGUGAAUGAUAAAAAGACCCUUUUUGGCCAGAAGCUAGGAGUAGUAAAACGCUAUCAAACAUUAAGGCGAAUAGCAGAAGGGGUUUAACUUCGAUCGUAGUCGAAGCACGUCGUCUCAGGUUUACGACUUUCGUCCCUUUUCAUGACAUAUUUUUGUUGUUCCUUUCGAAUAUUUAAUCUCUGUUGUCUUGAUGAUAAGGCUUGGUAUAGUUUGAGGUUGAGUAAUAUUGAUUUUGUUUCUUUUGCCCUUUUGUUGGAACUGUCUGUUAUGUUGCUGGUAUGGUUUGAUUUAAUUUGAGGCUUCAAUUCAAUAAUUAGUAAUAUUGAUUUUGUUUCUUUUGCCCUUUUAUUGGAAUGUUUAGUAAGAAAUCUUCACAACAGUUUCUUCAUAGUCUAUGGGUUAUAUAUCUUUUCCUUUGUUUGCAAUCCAGUUUAACAUCGUAGCAAUGUUUCGUUUGCUAGAGUAACCAUUGUUUGGUUUUGUGAGCGUGUUGCAGGUUUAAAAGCACAAACUCAAAGCCGUUGUCGCCAAGUUGUGAAUGUGAAUGGCUUUUGUACCAUUUUUAUGGUCUCACUUUGUUGUGAAAUUAACCCGACAAUUAUGAUUGCUUGCUACCAGGCGUGGCAACUUCAGUUGCAGCCGCGGUGGCACUAAGCCGUCCUCACUUGAUAAUUUUGAGAAGUUAUUGGUUGGUUUUGUGUCCUUGCUUCGACUCUAAAAGGUCAACCAGCUCUCAGCUUCUCCACCCAUCGUCCCACACCCCACCGUUGCGCCAAUGUCGUGCUGGUGUUCCGCGCCCACAACUUGGUAUCCCCUCUGCCCCCACAAUACGCUGCCUUGUGCAUAAACUUUUGUUUGUAAAACAAUGUUGUGGUCCAUAAAACUCGAAGAAGGCCGUUUGAGUACUUUCGGAUUACAGAUUCGUGUGCUAAUAUUGUUAAAUUGCAAACAAAGUUCCUUUUGAAGUUAUAGGUUUCGCUGGAUCUAUUGUUGAUGCACUUGGUUCGGGCUUUCGUUUUCACCCGUUAAUUCGGGUUUUGGUAUUCUAUACCUUUUUUAUGAAUUUUAACUUUUCGUCUCUGUAAACGCAUUGCACCAAAGUAACUUCAUGUUAUUUUGUGCAGCAUUCUACUUAUGGAAGUGUCAGCAGAUCUCAAAUAAAUGGUAUGUAUUCAAACCUCUUAUUUGUCCAAAUUCAUUCUUGCUUGAAAAGUAAAAGAAAGAAGGGACUUAAUUUAAAGGUUUUGAUAGCUAACAAGGUGGAUACGACCGCUAUUAUGGUUGGUUUUUUUGCUAUAUUGGUAUGCUUAAGCCAUGUGUAGUCAUAACGCCCCUUUGUGGGCGUUAUGCGACAGGUGCCGCGCCACGUGUGCGGGUGGGCGUUAUGGGGCGUUAUGCAUUUAAGCCCGUAGUCAUAAAGCCCUUACCCAUCAAUACCUAAUUAUUAAUUGUCGUUUUUAUUAAAUAAUUAUAAAAACAAUAACCUUUUUUUUAUUGGUCAAGGUUUGAAACCUUCCUCCACAACGCCGCGAUAUCCAUAGCGCUGCCAAUUUUUUUUGCCUCAUAACCCCGCCCGUAGUGGUGUUCGGGGGGUUAUGGGGGGUUAUGAGAGAAAAUGGCGCCCCACUACGCAUCACCUUAGACGACUUCAGUUUCUUUAGAACUUAAUUUUGUGUAAUCAUAGGGUGCUUAAAGGAUUAUACCAAUUUAGAAGUUAAAGGUUAGUCUGUUUGACCAUCAAAGUCAAAGUUAAACUUUAUUUAUGCCACUUUUCACCAUUUUAAGUACUUCACGUUGGUGCUUUUCAUAAGCUAUUGCUGAUGCUACAGGUCAACUUUGGUGAACAAACAAAAGUGAAGGCUAUUAAGUUGUUGAAGUUGAUGAAUGAAUAUAAGUGUCUUAGAAAGUUUUAUUGAGUCAUUUUUGCUAUGUUUUUUUUUGUCUUUUUUCGGUUUUUUAGUAUCCAUUACGAUAUGCUUUGAUAGUGCGUCAAGUAUACGCGGGUGCUUUUUAUUUGAUGAAUAGAAAAGUAUAAGAUUGUUGUGUUGAA
Molecule: long non-coding RNA, 2896 nt
Organism: Helianthus annuus (common sunflower)
Lineage: Eukaryota; Viridiplantae; Streptophyta; Magnoliopsida; Asterales; Asteraceae
Exons: 2
Source: RefSeq, a predicted model, not a curated record